This 1104-nucleotide ribosomal RNA is filed under the name uncultured Syndiniales. RNAcentral describes it as "SSU rRNA". It matches the Rfam family "Eukaryotic small subunit ribosomal RNA", at positions 605 to 1737 of the family's 1831-position model. Lineage: Eukaryota; Dinophyceae; Syndiniales. The record is from RNAcentral.
AUACGUCGUUGCGGUUAAAGCUCGUAGUUGGAUUUCUGCAUGGAAGGAGCGGUCCACCCUUUGGGUGAGUUACUGCUACCUUUUGUGCAUCUUCCUGAGAAGGCGUUCUUCACUUAAUUGUGAGGCCGCAUGACUCAGGACGUUUACUUUGAGGAAAUGAGAGUGUUUCAAGCAGGCAAAUGCCUUGAGUACGUUAGCAUGGAAUAAUAGCAUCGGACCAUCGUCAUGCUGUUGGUGUCAUGGCGAAGGUAAAGGUGAAUAGGGAUUGUUGGGGGCAUUCGUAUUUAACUGUCAGAGGUGAAAUUCUUGGAUUUGUUGAAGACGGACUACUGCGAAAGCAUCUGCCAAAGAUGUUCUCAUUGAUCAAGAACGAAAGUUAGGUGAUCGAAGACGAUCAGAUACCGUCCUAGUCUUAACCAUAAACUAUGCCGACUGGAGAUAGGAAGCGUUUAUAUUACGACUCUUUCUGCAUCUUGAGAGAAAUCAAAGUCUUUGGGUUCCGGGGGGAGUAUGGUCGCAAGGCUGAAACUUAAAGGAAUUGACGGAAGGGCACCACCAGGAGUGGAGCCUGCGGCUUAAUUUGACUCAACACGGGGAAACUUACCAGGUCCGGACAUAGGUAGGAUUGACAGACUGAGAGCUCUUUCUUGAUUCUAUGGGUGGUGGUGCAUGGCCGUUCUUAGUUGGUGGAGUGAUUUGUCUGGUUAAUUCCGUUAACGAGCGAGACCUUAACCUGCUAAAUAGGUACGGUAACCUCUUGGUUGCCGGUCACCUUCUUAGAGGGACGUCGCGUGUCUAACGCGAGGAAGUGUGAGGCAAUAACAGGUCUGUGAUGCCCUUAGAUGUUCUGGGCUGCACGCGCGCUACACUGAUGCGUUCAACGAGUAUACCUUGACCGAGAGGUCUGGGUAAUCUUGUGAAAGCGCAUCGUGAUGGGGAUAGAUUAUUGCAAUUGUUAGUCUUCAACGAGGAAUUCCUAGUAAGCGCGAGUCAUCAACUCGUGCUGAUUACGUCCCUGCCCUUUUGUACACACCGCCCGUCGCUCCUACCGAUUGAGUGAUCCGAUGAUUACUUCGGACUGACGAGAGUCCCCGGAUUUUUCAG